Molecule: transfer RNA, 76 nt
Filed under: Oryza glumipatula
Lineage: Eukaryota; Viridiplantae; Streptophyta; Magnoliopsida; Poales; Poaceae
Description: tRNA-Val
Source: RNAcentral
UGCUUUUCAAGGGAGCUUAUUAUGCAAUGAACAUAGUGGUUUAGAUUUUAGGAGAGAUAUCCUACGUUUCCUUUAG